This 406-nucleotide long non-coding RNA is filed under the name Panax ginseng (ginseng). RNAcentral describes it as "long non-coding RNA (PGIN_LNC009662)". Lineage: Eukaryota; Viridiplantae; Streptophyta; Magnoliopsida; Apiales; Araliaceae. The record is from RNAcentral.
UUGAAAUUGGAUGAUAUUUACAAGCAUGAAGAAAUUUCACUAGCAAAGGUAUUAUUUAAAUUAGAAAUUGUUGUUUGAAUGAUAUUGUACUAAUGCGAUGCAAGUUUGAUAAAUAUUUUAAAAAUAUUUUGCAGGUUAUAUUAAUUCUUAGCAAGCUUGCUAAAUAUAGAAGUCUUUUACUUAUCUUGGAACAUGAGGUACUAUUUAUCGGUAUUUUUUUUAUUCUUAUUUCUUUCUAACUUAAAUUUUUGUUUGAGAACACAAGUUUGACAAAAGUAGCAGUCUUUUUUGAAUAGAAACGGGAGGUAGUAAGAAUGUAGUGGGAUUUAGAUUUUGUGAUAGAUUUGGGUAGAAAAAGAGCCGUAAGUAGGUAGACGUUCUGAUGGCUAGUUUUAUAGGUUAUAAA